UGACCCCCCACACUGGUACUGACACACGGACCAGAUACCUACGGGUAGCAGCAGCUAGGAAUAUUGGACAAUGGGCGAAAGCCUGAUCCAGCAACACCGCGUGGAGGACGAAGGCCUUCGGGUCGUAAACUCCUUUUUGGGGGGAUGAGAACGGACAGUACCCCCAGAAUAAGGCCCGGCUAACUACGUGCCAGCAGCCGCGGUAAUACGUAGGGGCCAAGCGUUAUCCGGAUUUACUGGGCGUAAAGCGCAUGUAGGCGGUCUACUAAGUCGGACGUGAAAGCUCCUGGCUCAACUAGGAGAGGUCGUUCGAAACUAGUAGACUAGAGGGUGGUAGAGGAGAGCGGAAUUCCAGGUGUAGCGGUGAAAUGCGUAGAUAUCUGGAGGAACACCAGUGGCGAAAGCGGCUCUCUGGCCCACUCCUGACGCUGAGAUGCGAAAGCCAGGGGAGAGAACGGGAUUAGAAACCCCGGUAUUCCUGGCCGUAAACGAUGUCAACUAGGCGUAGGAGUUAUUGACCCCUUCUGUGCUGUAGCUAACGCGUUAAGUUGACCGCCUGGGGACUACGGCCGCAAGGCUAAACUCAAGGAAUUGACGGUCCCCGCACAGCAGCGGAGCGUGUGGUUUAAUUCGAUGAUACGCGAGGACCUUACCUGGC
Molecule: ribosomal RNA, 658 nt
Filed under: uncultured bacterium
Lineage: Bacteria
Description: bacterial SSU rRNA
Rfam family: Bacterial small subunit ribosomal RNA
Source: RNAcentral